AAGAAAAAGCAUUUUAUUUCAUUUCAGAUGCUAUUAGAUUGUCAUCUUUCUGGAGUAAUAUUAUAGUUCUUCAUCUAGCCAGCAUCAAAAAAAACAUGUGCCACGGCUUGUUCCCAUUCUAUUUUCAGACAGCUAAUUUUUAUUUGAAUAAAAGGGUGGGUGGGCACUCGUGGAUGUUAUUGAAGCCUUUAUAAAAGUUCUAUGGAAAGAAAUAUGAAAAUGUAGCUAGCUAACUGUACUUAUGUUCCAUAUCAAUUA
Molecule: unclassified non-coding RNA, 258 nt
Filed under: Hevea brasiliensis (rubber tree)
Lineage: Eukaryota; Viridiplantae; Streptophyta; Magnoliopsida; Malpighiales; Euphorbiaceae
Source: RNAcentral